Molecule: ribosomal RNA, 433 nt
Filed under: uncultured bacterium
Lineage: Bacteria
Description: partial 16S ribosomal RNA
Rfam family: Bacterial small subunit ribosomal RNA
Source: RNAcentral
AACGAACGCUGGCGGCAUGCCUAACACAUGCAAGUCGAACGAGACCUUCGGGUCUAGUGGCGCACGGGUGCGUAACGCGUGGGAACCUGCCCUUAGGUUCGGAAUAACUCCCCGAAAGGGGUGCUAAUACCGGAUAAUGUCUUCGGACCAAAGAUUUAUCGCCUUUGGAUGGGCCCGCGUUGGAUUAGCUAGUUGGUAGGGUAAAAGCCUACCAAGGCGACGAUCCAGAGCUGGUCUGGGAGGAUGAUCAGCCACACUGGGACUGAGACACGGCCCAGACUCCUACGGAAGGCAGCAGUAGGGAAUAUUGGACAAUGGGCGAAAGCCUGAUACAGCAAUGCCGCGUGAGUGAUGAAGGCCUUAGGGUUGUAAAGCUCUUUUACCCGGGAUGAUAAUGACAGUACCGGGAGAAUAAGCGCCGGCUAACUCCGUG